AGCGCAGGCGGGAAGACAAGUUGGAAGUGAAAUCUAUGGGCUCAACCCAUAAACUGCUUUCAAAACUGUUUUUCUUGAGUAGUGCAGAGGUAGAUGGAAUUCCCGGUGUAGCGGUGGAAUACGUAGAUAUCGGGAGGAACACCAGUGGCGAAGGCGGUCUACUGGGCACCAACUGACGCUGAGGCUCGAAAGCAUGGGUAGCAAACA
This 207-nucleotide ribosomal RNA is filed under the name uncultured bacterium. RNAcentral describes it as "partial 16S ribosomal RNA". It matches the Rfam family "Bacterial small subunit ribosomal RNA", at positions 568 to 774 of the family's 1533-position model. The record is from RNAcentral.